GUUCCAGGACACAGUCACGGGCUCUGGGAAGUAGCCAGAGACCAGGCAGCCCAGAGACACCGUGGAGCCAGACGUGGUGCCACAUUUGGACAGCGGGAAGACCGACGGGGUCGUGGUGGAGGCUUGGGAGACGGUGACCAGGGUCCCUUGGCCCCAGUAGUCCAUUCCAUAGUAAUCACAGCCUCUGACACAGUAAUACACAGCAGUGUCCUUGGCUCUCAGGCUGUUCAUUUGCAGAUACAGCAUGUUCUUGGCGUUGUCCCUGGAGAUGGUGAAUCGG
Long non-coding RNA from Pipistrellus kuhlii (Kuhl's pipistrelle), 280 nucleotides. RefSeq lists it as uncharacterized. Lineage: Eukaryota; Metazoa; Chordata; Mammalia; Chiroptera; Vespertilionidae. The transcript has 5 exons. The record is from RefSeq and is a predicted model, not a curated record.